Long non-coding RNA from Dermacentor silvarum, 624 nucleotides. RefSeq lists it as uncharacterized. The transcript is spliced from 2 exons. Lineage: Eukaryota; Metazoa; Arthropoda; Arachnida; Ixodida; Ixodidae. The record is from RefSeq and is a predicted model, not a curated record.
UAGAAUCUCACGUGGAAAGACUAGUUGCAUGUGUUCCGCGUGCCGUGGUUCGAUUGCGCAGCCUUCCCGGUGAAUACGGUCGUUGGUAUUCACAGGCAGCGUUGUCCGAUUACAGUACGCGUAGCGCGCUUGUAUAUAAACUCGCCAUGGCUUCUACAUUCAGCAUCAAUUGACGGACGAAGAGUUCUUCAGAUAAAACAUGAUCAGCAUCAAGACCCUCCUUGUCGGGCUCCUCGUCCUGGCUUUGGUAUUCAACAUCGCCAUGGCACAAUACGGAGGCUUCGGUGGUGGUGGACGCGGUGGCGGCGGUCGCGGUGGCGGUGGACGCGGCGGUGGACGCGGCGGUGGACGUGGCGGUGGUGGACGCGGUGGUGGCGGACGCGGUGGUGGCGGACGCGGUGGCGGGCGUGGAUUUGGCGGCUACAACGGAUGAUUCCCGGCUACCACGCUGACGCGUCACUCUGUGCUUAACAGCGUGGAGGUCGAGUGGCCAACCAAAUAAUGUGAUUUGCGAGAGGCCUGCGGGAUCCGGCUGGACCUGUGAUCGCGGACCUUCGAGAUGUUGAUGUGCUUCUGUUGAACAUGACCCCGAAUAAACAUUGCUUUCCUUGACUGGCACCCACA